This 217-nucleotide unclassified non-coding RNA is filed under the name Glossina palpalis palpalis. RNAcentral's name for it is "sequence contains ITS1". The record is from RNAcentral. Lineage: Eukaryota; Metazoa; Arthropoda; Insecta; Diptera; Glossinidae.
UAUUUAUUGAAAAACAUUUUUCAAUAAAUUUUAUUUUAUAUAUACAUUUUAAAAUUAUGUUGCGAAUGUCUUAAGGUUCAUUUUGUUAAAAUUCAUCAUUAUUGAGCGGAAUUAAAACAGGAACCAAAUUAACUUUUACCGGGCGCCCAUUUAUUUUGGACUUCGGAUUAAGUACAACAUUUAUUUUAAAUGUACAAUAUAUAUAUAUAUAUAUAUA